AAACAGAGUGAGGGCGAACCCUAAGAAGAAGAGAGAACAGCUGCCCACCCUAAGCUUCUUCUUCAACACCAAAAAUCAACAGCCGCAACUCCAUCCCUCACCACCAAGCAGCGCCUCCAAACACCACGGCCGCACUCACCAUCUCCGCGCCUCCGCCAGUCACCCCACUCGCCAGAAAUUCCUGUUUUGGUGCCAAAGAGUGCAGGGCUCUUGUUGUUGAGAUCUUAAAAAUUGUCCGCAUUAGAGAAAAACAGACAGAUCCGGAAGAACAAAUACAAAUUAAGAGAAGCUAAUCCGAGGUUGCCGUUCGAAGGUUUCCGGCCUAACGUUGCAGAUUCGAAGGAUAGAUUUUUUCAUCUAACUUGUUGUUCAAGUUCCGCAUUUGAUUGAGUUCAUAUCAAUUGUUCAUUGGUUGUGGCUGUUCUUCUAAAACUUUGCACAUCCGGACAGAAGUUAAUUAAAAAUUCAUUCAAGGUCCAUUCCAACCUUUAAUAUUUUACCUCCUGAUAUUUGUCACAUAUGUGUUUGAAUGGCAUAUGCGUACAUUUUCCAUGACUAUUUGUGGUAUUUUUGAUCUUAUGAUAAAAGUUGGUUAAUUGACACAUUUUGACGUCACUGAUUUAAUCAAAUGGUACCGCACCUUAAAUUGAAUAAGAGGUCCAGAUCUGAAAGCUUAUUUGGAAUUGAUUUCAAGGGUUGUUCGGUAAAAUUAAAAUAAAUUAGGUGCAAGAUAAACUAUAUUUUUCUUUUAUUCUUGUUUUAUUUACUUCUUCGGGUAGGAGCAUAUCUAGGCCGACCAUAUUUGGGUAGGCAAGUCUUAGGAUUUUUGUUAGUUUCGAGGUGAGAGAUUGUUCCCUUAGUUAAAUUUAUCCGGGGAAUGCCUCGAAGGAUUUGUAUAUAUUUUUAUCCGGAGUAUGCCCCGAAAUAUUUGUAUUUGGAAGCCGAAAGUAGAACUCGUAAUAUUUAAUUUUAAUUUUAAUUUUUUUCUUUUAUUAGAUGGGGACGACUUCGAGCAUCUUGUGUGUUUGUUUUUCUUUUCUGUGUUUGUUCUUAUCUCAAUUUGAAUAUUUUAAAAGCCAACUUGAUCAUCUAUGCAACCGUACUAGUUACGGGACUCGGGGAAUGCCUAACACCUUCUCCCCGAGUUAAAUGGACCCCCUUAUCCGAAUCUCUGGUGUAGAUUUAGUUUUGGAGUCCAAAGUGUUUUAAAAGGAAAAUCAUUUUAAAAACGGUGACCUGACACACCGAAACCAAUGUCAGGUGACGAUUUUGAGUUAUUUUCUUUUGAACACAAUUUUGUCAUUUUUUAAUUAAAAACCCUUUUGAGCUUUACAAAUCUUUUUAUUAAUUUAAGAGGGUUUAGUGAAGUUGGUAAAAAAGGGGUGUGACAACGACCUGACCGGUUGUUUGCUUUCUAGAAUCCCUUUCCCCUAAAUAAGACUUUUCGUACUUGCUUUUACUGAUUUAUAUCUUGAGGGGAUGGUUGUUUCGGGGUUUGCAAGAGCUUGGGUUGAAAUCGAAACACUUGGUUCCUUAAGGUUGGCUUAAAAGACCAAGUUUAACUUCGGUCAACAUUUUGAGUAAACGAUACCGAAAUCAGAAUUUGACGGUUUCAGUAGGUUCGUAUGAUGAUUUUGGACUUGAGCGUAUAUUCGGAUCGAGUUUUGGAUGACCCGGGAGCAUUUCGGCGCCUAAUAGUGAAAGUUGGUUCUUUAAGGAUUUUGAAGUUCUUUAAAUUUGGUUUAGAGUGAGUUUUGGUGCUAUUGAGGUCCGAAUUGAAUUCGGAGACUGGGAAUAGUUUUGUAAUGUCAUUAAAGACCUGCACGCAAAAUCUGGUGUCACUCCGAGUAGUAUAAGUACGUUUCGGCGCAUUGGAAGUAAAUUGAAGAACUUGAAGUUCAUAAGUUUGAAUCAAUUGGUUUUAGGGUGUGAUUCCUAGUUGUUCUUAGGGUUCGAGCGAGUCCGUUUUAUCAUUCCAAACUUGUGGGUAUGUUCGGGCGGGGCUCUGGGGGCCCUGAGCGUCAAUCGGACGAGGCUCAGACUAAUUUGAAAAAUAUGAGCAAGAGCUGAAGCCCCAGCUUCUGUCAUAAUCGCACCUACAGUUGGUCAGCCGCAGGUGCGAGCUUGCAGGUACGGCCAAGGGUGGGAAGCCCAGAACCGCAGAUGCGGCCCAUCCUUUGCAGAAGCAGAACCGCAAAUGUGGUGGGCCUUUCGCAGAAGCGGCCCCAGCCAGCCCAGUGAAUUCCCCAGAAGCGAACCAUUUUUCGCAGAUGCGGCCUAUGACCGCAGGUGCGGAAAUCACUGAAGGUAGUGGCCUUCAUUUAAUACGGGCCUUAGACGUUUUUGACUCAUUCCACUCCAUUGUUGGGCAAUUUUAGAGCUUCUUGAGAGAGGUUUUUCACCAAGCUUUUGGAGGUAAGUAAUUCCUACUAUAUGUGAGUUAAAUACUUAGAUUUUAGGUAGAUUAACAUGUAAAGAUUAGUGAAAAUCAUAGGAUUAAAGGAAAACCUAGGGUUUGGCAAGAAUGAGAUUUUACCACGAAACUGACCAUGAAACUUAGUGAUAAUCAUAUAUUUUUAUUCCUUAGGUUAUGGAUAACAACUUUCUUUGAAAAUUUUUGAAUUCCGGGCACAUGGGCCCGGGGGUGAAUUUUAGGAAUCUUGCCUUUGGGGUUGGGAAGUCACCUUAAUAGUUAGGAUAUGAACUUUUGAACCUGUAGAGAUUGGUUUUUACAUUAUUUGAAUAGUUUUGGAUUGUUCGGCUCCGAUUUGAGGGUUUGAGUGCAUUCUCGAGUUUGGAAGUAGGCUUUGAAGCAAGGUAAGUCUCCUUUCUAACCUUGUAAGAGAAAAAUUUCCCCAUAGGUGAUUUUAAUUUAAAAUGUAAGUAUUUAUGGGGGCUACGUACGCACGAAGUGACGAGCGUCCGUACGUAGCUACUAUUCCUGUUAUGUACAGGUGGUUUAGGUUGACACCAUGCUUUGUGAAUACCGUUAUUUAAUGAUACUUGGUACUUGUAUUAAAUGGAAUUAAGUUGAGACUUUUAAGGAUUUAAAGCUUCAAGUUGAAUUACCUUUAUUUUAAAGAAAAGAAUUUAAUGAAUUUGAUUUAAAUGAUUAAAUUUAAAUUUGAUCGUGUCUCAUGAAUGAUUCGCGAGCGGGGUGAAUAGAUGCAUCUAUGGUUCGCGCCGUUCGACCCUCCGGCAGUGCAAUUUUAUUAUUAUGUUGGAUCAGGCCGUACGACCUCGACAUAACUUACACAUGCUAUUUAUUUGUGAACUUUCUGUGAUUUGUAUUGCUUAAUGCCUUGAAUGUAAAUUGUUAAAUGAUAUGAAUGAAAUUUACAUUAUAUUAAUGAAAGAAGAACUUGUCACUUCCUGAUAUUUAGUGUCGAUUUUUUUAUGAUAUCCAUGCUUAGCAUAACACUUUAUUUAUAUUAUUGUUGGCCCUAGUAAGUGUUAAGUCGACCCCUCGUCACUACUUCUUUGAGGUUAGACUGGAUACUUAUCGGGUACGUAUUGUUUAUAUACUCAUACUAUGCUUCUGUACUUAAUUGUACAGGAUUUGAGGCUGGUGCAUCUAGUUACCCACCCGGCACACAUUCUUUAUAUCGGUUCGAGACUUCACGGUGAGUUGCCCCCUUUCCGAGCCAUCCAACAGCAUCGUCGGAGUUUCUCUUUUGUUGUAUCUAUUUAUACUAUCUCAGACAGUAGGAUAGUUAUAUUUUUGUACAUUCUACUAGUUGCCCUCGUACUUGUGACACUAGAUCCUGUCACACACAUUAGUAGACUAUUAUUUUUGGGUGUAAGAUUAUAUUCAUGAUUUCCUCUAGUGGUUCCUCCAUUAGUUACCUUGUAAUUUCAUUAAGUACUAAAUGCUUAAAUUUAAAUAAAAUUUGUGGUCGGAAAUUCUUAAAUAAAAAUAGAAAUUACUAGGUUGUCCACGGUUGGACUGUCUAGCGGCGGAUGCUGGAUGCCAUCACGACCUGACAUGAAAUUGGAUAAUGACAACAUGGUAUCAGAGCACUAGGUUCACGUAGGUCUCACAAGUGAUAGGCAGACCUCAUAGAUCUUGCGGAUCAGUGUGGAGACGUCCAUACUAAUUUUCGAGAGGCUAUAGGGAGUUAGGAAACUACUCUUUAUUCAUCUUCUAUCGUGCAAUUGAUGGUAUACUAAAUUCUCUCUCUUAUUCUCUCACAGAUGGUGAGAACGCGCACAACAGACAUCCCAGACUGGGGAAGAGCUGCUCCCCCAGACUAGAGGCCGAGGUAGGGGUCGGGGGAGGGAACCGACCCGAGGUAGGGGACGAGGACGUCCUAGAGUUGCCCUAGUUGCACCACCAGUGGAUCCAGUAGAGGAUCCCAUCAUUAAAGAUCAGGGCGAGGUGCCCGUAGCAGAGCCUGCC
Molecule: long non-coding RNA, 4399 nt
Filed under: Nicotiana tabacum (common tobacco)
Lineage: Eukaryota; Viridiplantae; Streptophyta; Magnoliopsida; Solanales; Solanaceae
Description: long non-coding RNA (NTAB_LNC006672)
Source: RNAcentral